Molecule: long non-coding RNA, 1375 nt
Organism: Apodemus sylvaticus (European woodmouse)
Lineage: Eukaryota; Metazoa; Chordata; Mammalia; Rodentia; Muridae
Exons: 3
Source: RefSeq, a predicted model, not a curated record
AUAAUUCCGAGUUAACCGAAUGGCUUCGCCGCCGCCGCAGCAAUAAAUACAGUUGAACUGAAUUAAAAGGAGAAGAAAAACAUCCAACUGAGAAACCCAGACACCGCUGGACAAGAGAAACAUCUAAAGAAAAAUGAUAGAUGAUCAAGAAAAGAUAUCCCGGGAGCAAAAACGACCAGACACCAGUGAAGACAAGACCAGCAGCCCAAGUGACCCAGCCUCGGACUGCCUUAGUUGCUGUUUCCUCAAAAAUCUACAUGCACAGCUAAUUCAAAAUGGGCCAGCAAAGAUCGUCCAGCCUCACCUCACAGUGUUUCAACCAGAACUUCAGUUAAGCCCUGCACUUUCCCAUCCUACAGAAACUAGCUGUCUAAGUUAGGGUUUCCAUUGCUGUGAAGAGGCAUCAUGACCAAGGCAAGUCUAAUAAGGACAACAUUCAAUUGGGGCUGGCUUACAGAUUCAGGGGUUCAGUCCAUUAUCAUCAAGGCAGGAGGCAUGGCAGUGUCCAGGCAGGCACGGUGCUGGAGGAGCUGAGAGUUCUACAUCUUGUUCUGAAGGCAAACAGAAGACUGGCUUCCAUGCAGCUAGGAGAAAGGUCUCAAAGCCCACCCCCCCCACCGUGACGCACUUCCUCCAAAAGGCCACACCCACUCCAACAAGGCCAUAUCUAAUAGUGCCCCUGCCUGGACCAAGCAUAUUGAAGCCACCGCACUAGAUAACAAACGAUACAGUUAGCUCUCUCAGGACUUAUACAAUAUCCCAGUUUUCUUAGGGUCCCCAAAGGAUGCUGUUGCUUCCAACCCCAGGAAGUGAUUUUAAGAACGUGACACCCUCGUUCCCAAGAAGUGGGGUGGGUGUUUUUCUGUCAUUUGGUGGGUUAUGGAUGUCUGUUAUCACUUGGAGAGGUUGGUUACAAGUUGAUUUUGGUCGUGGUCAAGGAGGAAACAAAGGAAAGGAGGUUAGAUUCAGGGAUGGUUUUCUUUCUCUUUCUCCCCUUUUCCUUCUUGUAUCUGACGUUAGAGAAUGAAAAGGGGGAGAGAGGUCAUAGGGAUGUAAGGGAGCGAGUGCAUCUCCUGAAUUGAUUUGUGCUCGACCUGAUGUGUGACUUAAUUAUUUGCUAAACAGUGUGUGCUAGGUAUACUCUAUUCAUGGGAUUCAGCCCUCAGGCAUGCCAAGGACUGGUUCUACCACUGAGCCACACUGUAGCCCCCUCACCCCUUUUAAUGACUGUUUAUAUUCCAUUUCCCAGAUGUGCCAUGGUUUACUGAUGAAGUUCUACCUACCAAACCAGACCCUUUCCCGUGUCCUAUCACACUGAUGCCAUCUUUGUACACACGCACAUUUCUCAUUUUAUUAAAGAUUUAUUUAUUGUGUG